This 520-nucleotide ribosomal RNA is filed under the name uncultured bacterium. Its description in RNAcentral is "bacterial SSU rRNA". It matches the Rfam family "Bacterial small subunit ribosomal RNA", at positions 8 to 518 of the family's 1533-position model. The record is from RNAcentral.
AGAGUUGAUUAUGGCUCAGGAUGAACGCUAGCGACAGGCUUAACACAUGCAAGUCGAGGGGCAUCACGGGAGUAGCAAUACAACUGGUGGCGACCGGCGCACGGGUGAGUAACGCGUAUGCAACCUACCUAUCAGAGGGGAAUAACCCGGCGAAAGUCGGACUAAUACCGCAUAAAACAGGGGCACCGCAUGGUGAUAUUUGUUAAAGAAAUUCGCUGAUAGAUGGGCAUGCGUUCCAUUAGGUAGUUGGUGAGGUAACGGCUCACCAAGCCGACGAUGGAUAGGGGAACUGAGAGGUUGGUCCCCCACACUGGUACUGAGACACGGACCAGACUCCUACGGGAGGCAGCAGUGAGGAAUAUUGGUCAAUGGGCGGGAGCCUGAACCAGCCAAGUCGCGUGAAGGAAAAGAAGGAUCUAUGGUUCGUAAACUUCUUUUGCAGGGGAAUAAAGUGCAGGACGUGUCCUGUUUUGUAUGUACCCUGAGAAUAAGGAUCGGCUAACUCCGUGCCAGCAGCUGC